RNAcentral lists this ribosomal RNA (530 nucleotides) under uncultured Mycobacterium sp. RNAcentral describes it as "bacterial SSU rRNA". It matches the Rfam family "Bacterial small subunit ribosomal RNA", at positions 354 to 894 of the family's 1533-position model. The record is from RNAcentral. Lineage: Bacteria; Bacillati; Actinomycetota; Actinomycetes; Mycobacteriales; Mycobacteriaceae.
GUGGGGAAUAUUGCACAAUGGGCGCAAGCCUGAUGCAGCGACGCCGCGUGGGGGAUGACGGCCUUCGGGUUGUAAACCCCUUUCAGCACAGACGAAGCGCAAGUGACGGUAUGUGCAGAAGAAGCACCGGCCAACUACGUGCCAGCAGCCGCGGUAAUACGUAGGGUGCGAGCGUUGUCCGGAAUUACUGGGCGUAAAGAGCUCGUAGGUGGUUUGUCGCGUUGUCCGUGAAAACUCACAGCUUAACUGUGGGCGUGCGGGCGAUACGGGCAGACUGGAGUACUGCAGGGGAGACUGGAAUUCCUGGUGUAGCGGUGGAAUGCGCAGAUAUCAGGAGGAACACCGGUGGCGAAGGCGGGUCUCUGGGCAGUAACUGACGCUGAGGAGCGAAAGCGUGGGGAGCGAACAGGAUUAGAUACCCUGGUAGUCCACGCCGUAAACGGUGGGUACUAGGUGUGGGUUUCCUUCCUUGGGAUCCGUGCCGUAGCUAACGCAUUAAGUACCCCGCCUGGGGAGUACGGCCGCAAGGC